CCCCUAGAUGUUCUGGGCCGCACGCGCGCUACACUGAACAGUUCAACAAGUCUUAACCUUGGCCGAUAGGUCUGGGUAAUCUUUGAACGCUGUUCGUGAUUGGGAUAGACCUUUGCAAUUAUGGGUCUUCAACGAUGAAUUCCUAGUAAACGCAAGUCAUCAGCUUGCAUUGAUUACGUCCCUGCCCUUUGUACACACCGCCCGUCGCACCUACCGAUUGAAUGGUCCGGUGAAAUCUCGGGACGGCGGCUUGGUCGCUUGCGUCCGACUGCUGAAACUUGAUUAAACCAUAUCAUUUAGAGGAAGGUGAAGUCGUANCA
Molecule: ribosomal RNA, 320 nt
Filed under: uncultured eukaryote
Lineage: Eukaryota
Description: partial 18S ribosomal RNA
Rfam family: Eukaryotic small subunit ribosomal RNA
Source: RNAcentral